This 1006-nucleotide long non-coding RNA is filed under the name Phocoena sinus (vaquita). RNAcentral's name for it is "lncRNA (ENSPSNG00000003295.1)". The record is from RNAcentral. Lineage: Eukaryota; Metazoa; Chordata; Mammalia; Artiodactyla; Phocoenidae.
GUUAGAAUCCUGUCAUUUUGCUACUCAGUGGCCGCAUCUACUUCUGUGAAAGACCAGUUGCAUUUCUGUGGACUCUCAGGUAUCAUUAAAGAAAAUCCAGAGUAGGAGUGGGUGGACAUCCCUAACCCCCAGGUACAGCAGGGCCGUUUGCUGGCCUUUGGCCGUGAACACUGUAGUCUCCCAGCUGCACAGAGCUUUGUAAAGCUCAGUAUCCACUCUCUGGACAGAGGGGCACUCUCGGCAGCGGCCAGACUUCGCCACUGCCCCGGUCCGCUGGGCAAAACAGGGAAGUAACUGGGCGCCUUGCUCCCCACCUCUCGGUGGCCCAGCCCCUGCAUUCGUUAGACAAGCCACAUGGCAUUUUGUUGGGCCCACGUUAAAACCUCUUUGCUGGUGAUGACUUGAUCAUGCAACUCCAGUGUUCUCUGCAGAGUCCUGCGCCAUUAGAGGGCCUCGCUUCAGCUCGUGUCUUGUUUCAGCGCUGCCCCGUAGGCCGGCGCUCCUCUCCCUUCCCGGGGACAACCGUUACACACAGAAACCAUUGCAUUUAUGGGGGGAAAUUGAUGAAAACAAGUCAACCUUGAAAUUUCAUGAAAACAAAAUGACCUGCCUUUUUAUUUGAUAGUGUAAUACCAUUUGUUUUAUAAAUUUUUUAGGGUUUUUUUUUCUCAUUGUAAUAUUAUUGUACAGUUUUGCAUGGCCUGGGUGUAAUCAUUUUUUUGUUUAGAAUAUAAUGCUGACAAAUAAGUGUGUACGGAAGGGGAAAAGAUACUGCUUUGGCCUCUUAUCACUCAUUUCAUUUUGUUUGGUUUUAUCCCCUCAUUGUCUUAGGGAACUUUAUGAGAUUCUCUGCUACCAAACAAUGGUGUGGAUUCUUUUGCACAGAAAUAUUUAAGGUGGGACAGUCAAAAUGUAACAGAAGACGCCUCGCCGAUAUUUUACGUUGGUAUCACUUAAUAUUAACCAGACUCUGAUGUAUUGCAAUAAAACAGGGAACUGUUCGAAU